UGGUUGGUAGAGUCUGCAAGACGAAUGGCUUUUUAUGUUGCAUAGUGAUCAAAACUUCCCAGAUACUCCAGAGCUGCCUGGUAACAGAACUGAUAUUCAUCCUAGAUGUGGUCAAGAGGAGACAAUCAACAGGAGAAGGAGGAGAGAGUGACCCACAAAGACCUAGUGGAGGGGAAUGGAGGAAUACACAGCCCCCCCGGUGUGUCCAAGGAGCUGGGCUUACAGAAAUGACAAAAUACUAGGUCACAUGCUCUGUUAGGGAAUUUGCGCUGAGGCACAGAUGGCCACGCUUUUCUACUCCCUGUUGAAGGAUGUUUUUACAUGCUCAUUUGCCUACCUGCAGUGGACAGAAAUUGGCCCAUCCUGACCGAACUGUUCCUUUGUCUUAUGCACCUGUCCAAUGAAAUCGAUAAAACCCUCUCCUGAUUUUGGCACACCUUGUUCGGGCCAGUCAGUGAACUGGAACUGACGAACGGUUCGGGACUGACCA
This is a non-coding RNA of Caretta caretta (loggerhead turtle), 490 nucleotides long. NCBI's taxonomy places the organism in Eukaryota, Metazoa, Chordata, Testudines, Cheloniidae. The record is from RefSeq and is a predicted model, not a curated record.